This 496-nucleotide ribosomal RNA is filed under the name uncultured bacterium. RNAcentral's name for it is "partial 16S ribosomal RNA". It matches the Rfam family "Bacterial small subunit ribosomal RNA", at positions 28 to 506 of the family's 1533-position model. The record is from RNAcentral.
GAUGAGCGCUGGCGGCGUGCCUAAUACAUGCAAGUCGAGCGAACAGACGAGGAGCUUGCUCCUCUGACGUUAGCGGCGGACGGGUGAGUAACACGUGGAUAACCUACCUAUAAGACUGGGAUAACUUCGGGAAACCGGAGCUAAUACCGGAUAAUAUAUUGAACCGCAUGGUUCAAUAGUGAAAGACGGUUUUGCUGUCACUUAUAGAUGGAUCCGCGCCGCAUUAGCUAGUUGGUAAGGUAACGGCUUACCAAGGCAACGAUGCGUAGCCGACCUGAGAGGGGGAUCGGCCACACUGGAACUGGGACACGUUCCAGACUCCUACGGAAGGCAGCAGUGGGGAAUCUUCCGCAAGGGGCGAAAGCUGGACGGGGCAACGCCGCGUGAGUGAUGAAGGUCUUCGGAUCGUAAAACUCUGUUAUUAGGAAAGAACAAAUGUGUAAGUAACUAUGCACGUCUUGACGGUACCAAAUCAGAAGACCACGGCUAACUACGU